UUAUCAUUAUUUCAUUUAUGCACAACAGAUUAGACUGUUGGAAAAUAUUCCCUAACAUCGGCUACAACAAGUAACCUUGAAUGCCAAGAACCUCCCUAAAUAUCCUAGCUAUCCCUAGUAAUAUUGUUUUGUGGAGCUGCACUAAACUAGGUUU
This is a long non-coding RNA of Octopus sinensis (East Asian common octopus), 154 nucleotides long. RefSeq lists it as uncharacterized. The transcript has 4 exons. The record is from RefSeq and is a predicted model, not a curated record. Lineage: Eukaryota; Metazoa; Mollusca; Cephalopoda; Octopoda; Octopodidae.